RNAcentral lists this ribosomal RNA (253 nucleotides) under uncultured bacterium. RNAcentral describes it as "partial 16S ribosomal RNA". It matches the Rfam family "Bacterial small subunit ribosomal RNA", at positions 524 to 776 of the family's 1533-position model. The record is from RNAcentral.
UACGAAGGGGGCUAGCGUUGUUCGGAAUUACUGGGCGUAAAGCGCGCGUAGGCGGUGAUCUUUGUCAGAGGUGAAAUCCCGAGGCUCGACUUCGGAAUUGCCUUUGAAACGGGAUCGCUUGAGUCCGAGAGAGGAUGGCGGAAUUCCUAAUGUAGAGGUGAAAUUCGUAGAUAUUAGGAAGAACACCGGUGGCGAAGGCGGCCAUCUGGCUCGGUACUGACGCUCAGGCGCGAAAGCGUGGGGAGCAAACAGG